CUGUAAGUAAAACGUUGAUUUUGCUGAUUAUGAUACUACAAAUAAGGUGUUGAAUGACUGGGGUGUGAAUGAUGUUGGAGUUUAAAGCUGAAACUCAGAGAGGAGUGUGUUGGGAGACUGGCAUGUAGUCUGCAGUGCAAAGGUGGGCGUCUUGCCUGCUAGUCUAUUUAACAGUAAUGAAAAUGAUAUUAAAUAAAUCUCUCAGUGUGUUGAUACAGGUGGCUAUGGGGCUGGACCAACUGCCCCCACAAGCACGGCGGCCGAAGCAAAAUUAUAGUAAUGGAAACCAAACUCAGCAAGAAUCAGCAGCUGUGGAAAAGACAGCAGCUAGCAGAGAAUUAAAGGAGAAAUUAAGAGAAGUUUUAACACAUAAAAUUGCGGCCAACAGACUUGUGGAGGUUGGGAAGGCGCCUGGAGCAUCACAACAAGAAGGUGAAACAAAAACACACACAAGCAGAGAAAUGUGAGAGAGAGGCACGUGCUAGAGAAAUGCCUCGUUUGAGAAAAAACGUUAAAUUAGCCCAUGUACAAACGCACAUACACGCAAUGAAGAAACAGCUUACACCCAUGAACAUGUGAAGAUUUUCCAGCAACUUUAAAGCAGUGAAACUUAACAUACACCCGCCGUUACACAAUAAAGUUUAUCCACUACUAACAAAUAAACCCUCUGGGUUGCAGGAUAACAACUUAACUUCAAAAAAAAAAAAAAAAAUCACAACCAGUGAUAACACGACAAAUUUAGUGGUUAAUAAAAGUCAAAUUGUGACAUGUUUUCUUCUGAUUGAUUAAUACAAGUGAUUACUAAAUGAAAGAAAAUUCCAUUUUUGUGCUUUAAACAUGAUCUUAAGAAUUUUAACAUGUACCUGUGUUGUCCUGUCAGCUUGGUGGGUUAUGAGAGGAUUAUAUGGUGAAAAAAAAAAAAAAAAAAAAGGGGGAGAGAAGGCUGACACAGGGCCUGGUCCCGUUGUUUUUCCCCUCUCUGAGUAACACAGCCAAUACAACAUGAUUUUCCUGUUCGUUUGUUUUUGUUUUGUUUUGUUUUUUUUCUCUUUAUGCUUGAUUACAGGCUGCUUUGUCGGCCCGGAAAAGCCGAGGCUGACCCUGGACUCCUGCUCUCCCCUCUACCAUCUUUGCUCUCUCCUCUACCAUCUUUGAUGUGACCCUGACUAAAUGCUAAAGCAGCUGGACCCACAACAACUUGAAAAUGUCAACAGUGCUGCAGGAAAAUGAUCUCAUGCAGCAGAGACGGAGAGCGGUAAUCCAAGGCCCGUUUCACUACACGGGGAGAUUUCUGUCAGCGUGUUUUCUUUAUGAGAAGAUUGAGAAAGGCCCGGCUCCCACCACCGAUUCUGACCACCUUAUAUAAAGGAAUUAUUGAGAGCAUCCUGAGCAGCUAUAUCACUGUCUGGGUCGGGAACAGCACCAUGCCGGACAGACAAGCACUACAGAGGGUUGUGCAAUCAGCUGAGCGCACCAUCCGCUCGGUGCACCCUGACCUGCACUCAAUCUACAGCAGGCGGUGCUGGACCAAGACCAGGAAGAUGGUGAAGGACCUCAGCCAUCCCAACAACAGACUGUUCUCUCUGUUGCUGUGUACGUGACAAAUAAACAUCUGGAUUUGGAAAACGAGGCACUCGCAAAGCCACCAGCAUUGUGCCUGAUUGGACACACCCCUCUCACACACUCUUUACAUUCUUGCCAUAUGGAAAAAGACAGCUUCAGCUGACAGAGCUGUGACGAGACGCCCAUCAAGCCCAGAUGAAAAGUGAG
This is a long non-coding RNA of Astatotilapia calliptera (eastern happy), 1770 nucleotides long. Lineage: Eukaryota; Metazoa; Chordata; Actinopteri; Cichliformes; Cichlidae. The record is from Ensembl.